AUAUAAGAUUUGAUAUCUAAAUUUUAAUUAAUUUAAUUUAAUUAGAAAAACGAAAUACAUUAUUAAUUUCCAAAAAAGUAACCAAUUAAAUCAACAAAUUAUAUUUGAUAUCUAAAUUAUCAUAUUAAUUUUUUAUUAAUUAUUAUAGUUCACUUCUCAUCUUUAUAUGAUUCUAUUUUUGCAGAAAAAUAAUAUCAUCAUUAUAAAAAAAUAAUUAGAGUUUUUUCGCAUAUGCCAUGAUUUGAAUUUUUAAAAACAAAUAUAAACUGUUCAAUAGAUGAAAAAUAUUAUAACGGGUGAAAAAUAGAUUUAAGAAAACUUUCUACUGAGUAACGGGUCAUAAUUUGAAAUAUUUAUAUUCAAUUUCAUACAUAUUAUAUUG
This 382-nucleotide small RNA is filed under the name Arabidopsis thaliana (thale cress). Its description in RNAcentral is "ATSL205220". The record is from RNAcentral. Lineage: Eukaryota; Viridiplantae; Streptophyta; Magnoliopsida; Brassicales; Brassicaceae.